RNAcentral lists this ribosomal RNA (352 nucleotides) under uncultured bacterium. RNAcentral describes it as "bacterial SSU rRNA". It matches the Rfam family "Bacterial small subunit ribosomal RNA", at positions 22 to 356 of the family's 1533-position model. The record is from RNAcentral.
GCUCAGGAUGAACGCUGGCGGCGUGCCUAACACAUGCAAGUCGAACGAAGCAAUUAAAAUGAAGUUUUCGGAUGGAUUUUUAAUUGACUGAGUGGCGGACGGGUGAGUAACGCGUGGAUAACCUGCCUCACACUGGGGGAUAACAGUUAGAAAUGACUGCUAAUACCGCAUAAGCGCACAGUACCGCAUGGUACGGUGUGAAAAACUCCGGUGGUGUGAGAGGGAUCCGCGUCUGAUUAGCCAGUUGGCGGGGUAACGGCCCACCAAAGCGACGAUCAGUAGCCGACCUGAGAGGGUGACCGGCCACAUUGGGACUGAGACACGGCCCAAACUCCUACGGGAGGCAGCAGUA